GAAAUAUAAUCCAGAACUUCUAC
RNAcentral lists this non-coding RNA (23 nucleotides) under Arabidopsis thaliana (thale cress). The record is from RNAcentral. Lineage: Eukaryota; Viridiplantae; Streptophyta; Magnoliopsida; Brassicales; Brassicaceae.